Molecule: ribosomal RNA, 495 nt
Filed under: uncultured bacterium
Lineage: Bacteria
Description: partial 16S ribosomal RNA
Rfam family: Bacterial small subunit ribosomal RNA
Source: RNAcentral
GACGAACGCUGGCGGCGUGCCUAAUACAUGCAAGUAGAACGCUGAAGGAGGAGCUUGCUCUUCUGGAUGAGUUGCGAACGGGUGAGUAACGCGUAGGUAACCUGCCUGGUAGCGGGGGAUAACUAUUGGAAACGAUAGCUAAUACCGCAUAACAGUAGAUGUUGCAUGACAUUUACUUAAAAGGUGCAAUUGCAUCACUACCAGAUGGACCUGCGUUGUAUUAGCUAGUUGGUGGGGUAACGGCUCACCAAGGCGGCGAUACAUAGCCGACCUGAGAGGGUGAUCGGCCACACUGGGACUGAGACACGGCCCAGACUCCUACGGGAGGCAGCAGUAGGGAAUCUUCGGCAAUGGACGGAAGUCUGACCGAGCAACGCCGCGUGGGUGAAGAAGGUUUUCGGAUCGUAAAGCUCUGUUGUAAGAGAAGAACGAGUGUGAGAGUGGAAAGUUCACACUGUGACGGUAUCUUACCAGAAAGGGACGGCUAACUACGUG